Long non-coding RNA from Schistocerca gregaria, 869 nucleotides. RefSeq lists it as uncharacterized. Lineage: Eukaryota; Metazoa; Arthropoda; Insecta; Orthoptera; Acrididae. The record is from RefSeq and is a predicted model, not a curated record. The transcript has 3 exons.
UGCAUGGAACUGUUGAAGUGACUCAGUAAUAAGCUUUGUGCUAUUGUGAUUUCUAAGAGACGAAAAUUGAAACGCAAAAUUGCCAGAGAGAUAACAGGAAACGUAAUAAAUAUUGGCAUUCUGCCCUGUAGGUUCACCUUCUUGGUGGGAUGUACAGCAUAUGAUGAAUGUGUAAAAGAAAUUUCUAUUCUUUUCAAAUUGUGAUGGUUUAUUUCUGUCAACCCACAUUAGUAAAUGUAUGUAAUGUGAAGGUGCUGUUAGAACGCUUAAUGCCUUAAAUACGCACCUACAUAAUAACUGUCAGUAAAUCUGUAGCAUCGCUAUCUUCAGCUGCCCAGUUGCAAUGUGAAUGCAAUACAUGAUCAGAUUAGCUGAUUAUAUGUUCCAGCAUUUGACAACUUAAUAUGUGCUCAAAUGUAGGAGUUUUUACUCCUAGGUACUUCAUUUGAGAUUGAUUUGCACCUCAUAGGCGACAGAAUGGUGUAUUCUACAUACAAAAUUCAUGUUACUAAACAAAGCACAUUGCAAAACCACAACAGAAUGACUACAGGAUUGCACAACCAAACGCUUCCUUUCACCACCCUAUUUUUUUUGUUAUGGUUACUAGGGAUAGGCCUCAGCCAGUGCCCAAGAUCAUUAUUUUUAUUUUACCAUGUGUGGCAAAUUGAUGUGUCUGGUAAUAUAUUAAUGUCAUGUCACUGUCUAUAGUAGUAUCAUAGAUACACUUUAAGAAAAUUAAAUGGUUUAUAUUCCACUGUGAAAACCCACUGUCAUAAAAUGUUUAUUGAAGUGGAUGACACUUGUAUCUCUUGUGUUGGAGUUAUUGUUGCAACGAAUGUGAUUUUGUAGUAUGACAUGUUAAAAACAAC